Molecule: ribosomal RNA, 253 nt
Filed under: uncultured bacterium
Lineage: Bacteria
Description: partial 16S ribosomal RNA
Rfam family: Bacterial small subunit ribosomal RNA
Source: RNAcentral
UACGGGGGGGGUAAGCGUUGUCCGGAUUUACUGGGCGUAAAGCGCGUUCAGGCGGUUUGACAAGUCGGGCAUGAAAUCUCUCGGCUCAACCGGGAGAGGUUGUCCGAUACUGUCAGACUGGAGGGCAGUAGAGGGUGGUGGAAUUCCGGGUGUAGUGGUGAAAUGCGUAGAGAUCCGGAGGAACACCAGUGGCGAAAGCGGCCACCUGGACUGCACCUGACGCUGAAACGCGAAAGCUAGGGGAGCGAACGGG